Molecule: ribosomal RNA, 505 nt
Filed under: uncultured bacterium
Lineage: Bacteria
Description: partial 16S ribosomal RNA
Rfam family: Bacterial small subunit ribosomal RNA
Source: RNAcentral
ACUCAAAUGAAUUGACGGGGGCUCACACAAGCGGUGGAGCAUGUUGCUUAAUUCGAAGCAACGCGCAGAACCUUACCUGGGUUUGACAUGCAUGGAUCAACCUCCUGAAAGGGAGGCCACAGCCGCAAGGCCGGAACAUGCACAGGUGCUGCAUGGCUGUCGUCAGCUCGUGCUGUGAAGUGUCGGGUUAAGUCCUCUAACGAGCGCAACCCCUAUCGCUAGUUGCCAGCGGGUAAUGCCGGGGACUCUAGCGAGACUGCCGUUGUAAGACGGAGGAAGGUGGGGAUGACGUCAAGUCCUCAUGGCCCUUACAUCCAGGGUUGCAAACGUGCUACAAUGGUGCGUACAAAGCGACGCGAGGCCGCGAGGCGGAGCAAAUCGCAAAAAACGCACCCCAGUUCGGAUUGCAGGCUGCAACUCGCCUGCAUGAAGUCGGAAUCGCUAGUAAUCGUGGAUCAGCUACGCCACGGUGAAUAAGUUCCUGAGCCUUGUACACACCGCCCGU